Molecule: ribosomal RNA, 101 nt
Filed under: uncultured bacterium
Lineage: Bacteria
Description: partial 16S ribosomal RNA
Rfam family: Bacterial small subunit ribosomal RNA
Source: RNAcentral
UACACACCGCCCGUCAAACCAUGGGAGUUGGAUUCACUCGAAGGCGUUGAGCUAACCCGCAAGGGAGGCAGGCGACCACAGUGGGUUUAGCGACUGGGGUG